AAGAUUUAAUCAACCCUAGGACCAAUUACUAAUGAUCAAUAGAUUAUCAUUAACCCAUGACCAAUCACAAGGGCAAAAAUGUCCAAUAAAAAGAUUUUAAAAAAUGGUUAAUGGUAAUAAAUAAAAUAUUUGAUGAUAUGUACUUAAAGAAAAAUUUGGUUAAAAAUAAAUAAACAAGGAAAAAGAAAUUAAAAUGAAAAGGGUUGUGAAAUUAAAUUAAAUGAAGAAAAGAAAUUAAGAAAGAAAAUAAAAGAAAAUGGAUGAGAAAUUUGAACAAAGGGGGCGCCAGGGGUUGAACCCCUGACCAUGGGGUCAUAUGCCCAAGAACCAACCACUGGACCAAGUGCUCUUGGUUGAUAAUAAACACGCUGAUAAAAACAAAUAAAAUACCCCAAUUAGAAAUAACAUAUGAACCAACCACAACUCUAUGAUCUGAUUACUUAACAAAAGUAUGCAUAAUGAAAUGUCUUGAUCCUAGGGAACACACA
This 488-nucleotide long non-coding RNA is filed under the name Lathyrus oleraceus (garden pea). RNAcentral's name for it is "Pisum sativum (pea) long non-coding RNA (PSAT_LNC022235)". The record is from RNAcentral. Lineage: Eukaryota; Viridiplantae; Streptophyta; Magnoliopsida; Fabales; Fabaceae.